Mesocricetus auratus (golden hamster) is the source of this 691-nucleotide long non-coding RNA. RefSeq lists it as uncharacterized. The record is from RefSeq and is a predicted model, not a curated record. Lineage: Eukaryota; Metazoa; Chordata; Mammalia; Rodentia; Cricetidae. The transcript is spliced from 3 exons.
GUCAGAAGGUUAAUACCAUGACUCUGCUCCCUGCUCUCCUCUGAGUCUCAGUCACUCCCUACCAGCCAGCUGUGCUUCCUGCGGCAUCAAGACUUUUGGUUAGCACCCCAGCCUCUCACAGACCUGUAAGCACAAAGCCCUUCGGUUUGGUGCAUUCUGGCUCCAUAUCUUUAUUGAGUCUUGUUUGACUCGGACGGAAGCCUCACUUUCCAGCACCAGGGUUCUCCUUUCAAGAGAGAAGUCUCAAAGUCAACUUGGAAGAAACUAACAUUUAACGUUCUGAGCUUUUCAGAUAUCUUUGGAUGACACCAGAUCAGCUUACCCUUCUGAGCUGCUGGAGACUGAUGGCCAACUGUGACUAUGUACCUGAGCCCCACUGCAAAUCUUGGACACCAGGCUUAGUGGUGUCUUCAGGCAGCUGCACUCCCCUGGCGUUCAGAUGUGAUGGCCCAGUAGAUGGGGUUGGAAGAGAUGGCCCAGUGGUCAAGAGCUACUUUUGAGCAGGAUCUGUGUUUGGUUCCUAGCACCCACAUGACAGCUCACAACUGUAUAACUCCAGUUCCAGGUGGUCCAACACCCCCUUCUGGCUGUCAAAGGCACAUGGCACACGUUGUGCAAAAUGCAUGUACCUGCAGUCAAAACCCUGAACACUGAGACACAGAAAAUAAAAAUAAAUAAAUCUUAAGAAGAA